AUGGCCGCCGGGCGGAAGGCGGACGACGCGUACAAGAUGGCCGGCGGGUACAAGAUGGCCGCCGGGUACAGGAUGGACGACCCGUACAAGAUGGCUGACCCGUACAAGAUGGCCGCCGGGUACAGGAUGGUAGAGCAGUCCAAGAUGGCUGACCCGUACAAGAUGGCCGCCAGGUACAGGAUGGCUGAGCCAUACAAGAUGGACGACCCGUACAAGAUGGCGGACACAUCCAAGAUGGCUGCCAGGUACAAGAUGGCUGACCCGUACAAGAUGGCCACUGGGUACAAGAUGGUCGAGCCAUCCAAGAUGGCUGACGCAUCCAAGAUGGCCGACCCAUACAAGAUGGCUGACACAUCCAAGGUGGCGGACGCGUCCAAGAUGGCCGCCGCAGGGAGGGUGGUUGAGGAAUCCAAGAUGUCCGCCGUGUCCAAGAUGGCGGCCUGGUACAGGAUGCUGCCUUGGUUCAAGACGGCGCCCGAACCCAAGAUGGCCGCCGAACCCAAGAUGGCGGCCGGACACGACCUAGAAGAAGAAGAAUCCAAGAUGGCGGCGUGGGCAUGGCCACGCCCAAUAUGGCGACCGGGCGGCUCUCCCCGACCAAUCGGCUUCGAGUGUGCGGAGCCUCAUGCAAAUGAGGGGUGGGGACGGGAAGUGACGUCAGAGUGGGCGGGGCCUGCUGAGUACCCCAGCGGCCAUCUUGGGGGGCGGCCAUUUUGGGGCGGCCAUUUUGAACCCGGCCGCCAUUUUGAAUCCAGACACCAUUUUGAUUCUGGCAGCCACUUUGAUUCCGGCCGCCAUUUUGAAGACAGACGUGGCGGCCAUUUUGAUCCUGGCCGCCAUUUUGAAUCCAGCCACCAUUUCCAUCCCGGCCGCCAUUUUGAUUCCGGCGGCCAUUUUGAAUCCAGCCACCAUUUCCAUCCCGGCCGCCAUUUUGAUUCUGGACGCCAUUUUGAUUCUGGCGGCCAUUUUGAUUCCGGCGGCCAUUUUGAAUCCAGCCACCAUUUCCAUCCCGGCCGCCAUUUUGAUUCUGGACGCCAUUUUUAUUCUGGAGGCCAUUUUGAUUCCGGCCGCCAUUUUGAUUCCAGCCGCCAUGUUGAUCCCGCCUUCUUCUUCCCCCACCCCAGCGGCCAUGUUGACCCCUCCGGCGGCCAUGUUGACCCCUCCGUCCGCCAUUUCCUCGCCUCGCCGCCGCCCUCCGCCGGCGGCCAUCUUGCCGGCGGCCGCGGCGAGGCGCCGCCGGCGGCGCUGUCGGUGCUGUACCUGCUGGCGCUGCUGCUGCUGCUGACGUGGCACCUCCUGCUGGUGGCGACGCUGCGCUACCGCCACACGUGGGCCCGCAACGCCGCCGGCGCCGCGCUGGGCUGGGCCGCCUGGGCCCUCACCUACCGCGGCUGGUACCGCCGGGCCUGGUCGCCGGGGCCGCCCGGCUGGGGCUGA
RNAcentral lists this long non-coding RNA (1437 nucleotides) under Lonchura striata (white-rumped munia). RNAcentral describes it as "domestica (Bengalese finch) lncRNA (ENSLSDG00000003213.1)". Lineage: Eukaryota; Metazoa; Chordata; Aves; Passeriformes; Estrildidae. The record is from RNAcentral.